RNAcentral lists this ribosomal RNA (254 nucleotides) under uncultured bacterium. RNAcentral describes it as "partial 16S ribosomal RNA". It matches the Rfam family "Bacterial small subunit ribosomal RNA", at positions 524 to 776 of the family's 1533-position model. The record is from RNAcentral.
UACGUAGGGGGCAAGCGUUGUCCGGAUUUAUUGGGCGUAAAGAGCGUGUAGGCGGCCAGGUAGGUCCGUUGUGAAAACUGGAGGCUUAACCUCCAGCUGUCGAUGGAAACCAUCUGGCUAGAGUCCGGAAGAGGAGAGUGGAAUUCCUGGUGUAGCGGUGAAAUGCGCAGAUAUCAGGAAGAACACCCGUGGCGAAGGCGGCUCUCUGGGACGGUACUGACGCUGAGACGCGAAAGCGUGGGGGAGCGAACAGG